Molecule: ribosomal RNA, 580 nt
Filed under: uncultured bacterium
Lineage: Bacteria
Description: partial 16S ribosomal RNA
Rfam family: Bacterial small subunit ribosomal RNA
Source: RNAcentral
UGAGGAAUAUUGGUCAAUGGGCGAGAGCCUGAACCAGCCAAAUCGCGUGAAGGAAGACUGCCUUAUGGGUCGUAAACUUCUUUUAUACAGGAAUAAAAAAGGGGACGUGUCCCUUAUUGCAUGUACUGUAUGAAUAAGCAUCGGCUAACUCCGUGCCAGCAGCCGCGGUAAUACGGGGGAUGCGAGCGUUAUCCGGAUUUAUUGGGUUUAAAGGGUGCGCAGGCGGGCUUUUAAGUCAGCGGUGAAAUCUCGGGGCUUAACUCCGAAACUGCCGUUGAAACUGGGAGUCUUGAGGUAUGGAUGAAGUAGGCGGAAUUCGUUGUGUAGCGGUGACAUGCUUAGAUAUAACGAGGAACUCCGAUUGCNUAGGCAGCUUACUAAGCCAUAACUGACGCUCAAGCACGAAAGCGUGGGGAUCAAACAGGAUUAGAUACCCUGGUAGUCCACGCCGUAAACGAUGAUUACUAGUUGUAUGCGAUAUACCGUAUGUGACUAAGCGAAAGCGAUAAGUAAUCCACCUGGGGAGUACGCCGGCAACGGUGAAACUCAAAUGAAUUGACGGGGUCAUAGCUGUUUCCUG